This 551-nucleotide ribosomal RNA is filed under the name uncultured Glomeromycotina. Its description in RNAcentral is "SSU rRNA". It matches the Rfam family "Eukaryotic small subunit ribosomal RNA", at positions 548 to 1098 of the family's 1831-position model. The record is from RNAcentral. Lineage: Eukaryota; Fungi; Glomeromycota.
UUGGAGGGCAAGUCUGGUGCCCGCAGCCGCGGUAAUUCCAGCUCCAAUAGCGUAUAUUAAAGUUGUUGCAGUUAAAAAGCUCGUAGUUGAACCUCGGGGUCUACCCAUUGGUCAGGCUUAAUUGUCUGUACUGGUGAGAUGGAUCUCUACCCUCUGAGGAACUUUCAUGCCAUUUAUUUGGUGUGAUGGGAAAUCAGGACUGUUACUUUGAAAAAAUUAGAGUGUUUAAAGCAGACUAUCGUCUGAAUACACUAGCAUGGAAUAAUGAAAUAGGACGGACUGAUUCUAUUUCGUUGGUUUCUAGGAUCACCGUAAUGAUUAAUAGGGAUAGUUGGGGGCAUUAGUAUUCAAUUGUCAGAGGUGAAAUUCUUGGAUUUAUUGAAGACUAACUACUGCGAAAGCAUUUGCCAAGGAUGUUUUCAUUAAUCAAGAACGAAAGUUAGGGGAUCGAAGACGAUCAGAUACCGUCGUAGUCUUAACCAUAAACUAUGCCGACUAGGGAUCGGACGAAGUUAAUUUUAUAAUGACGCGUUCGGCGCCUUACGGGAAAC